Leptonychotes weddellii (Weddell seal) is the source of this 179-nucleotide non-coding RNA. The record is from RefSeq and is a predicted model, not a curated record. NCBI's taxonomy places the organism in Eukaryota, Metazoa, Chordata, Mammalia, Carnivora, Phocidae.
AUGAAGGAUCAGUAGAGAAUCAAAACCACCCAUGUUUCAGGUCUAGUUAAAAAAGGACCAUCAUCUCAACAUCCGUCAUCCAGCCAAUUUUUCCCUACUAGAAUCCUGCUGGACGAGGACUGUUGGGAACCACUGCUAUCAGAAAGUGGAAACCAUAGGAAAACUACCCAUGGAUGAUG